UGGGGAAUAUUGCACAAUGGGGGAAACCCUGAUGCAGCGACGCAGCGUGCGGGAUGACGGCCUUCGGGUUGUAAACCGCUUUCAGCAGGGAAGAAGCCUCACGGUGACGGUACCUGCAGAAGAAGUACCGGCUAACUACGUGCCAGCAGCCGCGGUAAUACGUAGGGUACGAGCGUUGUCCGGAAUUAUUGGGCGUAAAGAGCUCGUAGGUGGUUGGUCACGUCUGCUGUGGAAACGCAACGCUUAUCGUUGCGCGUGCAGUGGGUACGGGCUGACUAGAGUGCAGUAGGGGAGUCUGGAAUUCCUGGUGUAGCGUUGAAAUGCGCAGAUAUCAGGAGGAACACCGGUGGCGAAGGCGGGACUCUGGGCUGUAACUGACACUGAGGAGCGAAAGCAUGGGGAGCGAACA
This 409-nucleotide ribosomal RNA is filed under the name uncultured bacterium. Its description in RNAcentral is "partial 16S ribosomal RNA". It matches the Rfam family "Bacterial small subunit ribosomal RNA", at positions 355 to 774 of the family's 1533-position model. The record is from RNAcentral.